Parelaphostrongylus tenuis is the source of this 71-nucleotide non-coding RNA. Lineage: Eukaryota; Metazoa; Nematoda; Chromadorea; Rhabditida; Metastrongylidae. The record is from the annotation of a GenBank genome assembly.
GCCGUGGUAGUGCAGUGGUUAGCGCACGCCCCGUAGAGGGUGCAACGCGAGUUCAACCACCGCCCGCGGUU